UUGGAUUGACACAAAAAAGGAACGAAUUGAAACUUGACGCCGUUCCGACAGUGUUCCACGAACAAAGCGAGCCAGCAACUUCGACACUGCAGGCAGUUCGACAGGGUCAAGCGCAAGUGAAGGACCAGGUGCUGCUGAUCAAGUCCCAUCCAUCCAUGAAAC
Molecule: long non-coding RNA, 162 nt
Organism: Ornithodoros turicata
Lineage: Eukaryota; Metazoa; Arthropoda; Arachnida; Ixodida; Argasidae
Exons: 3
Source: RefSeq, a predicted model, not a curated record